UAGGAACGGGAAAUUUACCAAGUAGGAAGUUGAGCCACAAUCCAACCACCAGGCUCUGAUCACUCGCAGCAGUUGGCUUUGCAGCCUAGACCCCAACCUCCCGAGGCAGGGAAGGCAGGCGGACUGGUGGAAGCAGCCCCCUCGCCCAACCCGCCCUGGAGCCAGAGGAGCCGCCCUCCCGCCACCCAACCCCCACGCCGACCCGGGAAGCGCACAAACGGGCGGUGCGACUACCCGUUCGCGGCGACAGCAGCAGCAGCACCCUCAGGCCCUCCCGUGAGACGGCGGCAGCUGCAGCAGCGGCGCUGGGAAAGGCGGGAAUGGCUGGACCUGUUACUGCUUUAAACAAUAGAAUGUGGCAAAACGACUGCCAGUUCCAGGCUGAAGCCAUAAGAAGUCUUUGCAGUGACAACACUGAAAUUUGCUGGAACCUGUACUCAGGGAAAACAGAAAUGAUUAAGAAGCCCCCCCACCUGUUUGUUUUCUGGGAAACAGCUUACCACAAAGAACCGCCCUUCUUGGUAUGACUUAGAUGGGACUCUGUCCACUCUUUCUCAAAAGACUGGCAGAUGACUCCUUGUUUACCUGUGACAAGACCAAAAACAGAUCUUUCCCUUUUUGCUUGAACCUGUUAACAAGGUCAGGCACAAACCCUUCAACAUCCUUUGUCUCAUGGAUGAUUAGCUGAGAUUAGAACUGUUUGUUGCCUUGAAAUUAUCUAGACACAGACAAACAUGCCCUGGCUGACUAAGACAUCUCCUGAUUACAAAACAAUUCCAGCUGAUGCAGGCUGAGGAGUCCAAGGACCCAGAGGGGUUCCCUCAAGACUAGCCAAGAAGGUCUUUGUCUUUGCACAGGAUAGAAAUCAAAUGCAAGCCAAGAGGAGAGUUUAUUGAAGACAUAGAGUGCAGACAGAGCAUCUGGGAGAUGCUUUACUUGGGGUCUGUUGUUUUUAUUGAGGACUGUGGUCUUGUGCACAUGUCUUCUCAGACAUCCAGGAACAAAGAUGAGUGUUUAAAUGUUUUCCAUAAGUCAUUUACACCCUGGAGCCAGGGAUUUGGGGAAAAUGUUCAUGAAGACCCCACCUGGUCACUCCUUAGAUGUUACCUAUUAUGCUGGAAGUCUCCAAAAAAAUCAUUAACUCCUUGACCUUUGCAAGGAAGAUGUAUACAUUAUCUGUACUAUAAGGCAUGUGUAGGGUGGGGAUGUAGGUCCUAGUAAGAAAAGAGGCAGCAAUAAAGCCAUCCUUCAUGGGGUUCCUUCAGUUUCCCUAUCUCACAACUGUAAGUCAUCCCACUGAUAACCUGUCUACUGCUCCCUAUAAAAGUACAAGGCAAAGCCCUGCUGAGACACUCUGAUCUUCAAAUCUAGGUACUCUCUCUAUUGCAAUAGUCUGCAUAAAAUCUAUUUCCUUGUUCGUUCAGUUUUGUUUUUGACAACAGCUUCUGUUUUGCCCUUUCGAAGAAGAACCAUGAAAGAAAUCUAACUACUCCAAGACUGCCAUGCUGUCAGAAGUCUCACCUAGCCAUUUCAAGAGGCCAAAUAGAGGAAAACUUGAGGACCUGGGCUAAUCGCCCCAGCUGUGCUCCCAUUGGACACAACACAACCUACCACGCAUGUGAGUGAGUGAGCCAUCUUAGAAGUGGAUUCUCCAGCCCCAUCAAGUUGCCCCAGCUGAUGCCACAUGGAACAGAGAUGAGCUAUUCUCCACCAUGCCCAAAUUGUAGAAUUAUGGACAAAUAAAUAAAAGUGUCAUGUUAAACCCCUCA
Long non-coding RNA from Lontra canadensis (Northern American river otter), 1769 nucleotides. RefSeq lists it as uncharacterized. The record is from RefSeq and is a predicted model, not a curated record. The transcript is spliced from 2 exons. NCBI's taxonomy places the organism in Eukaryota, Metazoa, Chordata, Mammalia, Carnivora, Mustelidae.